This 465-nucleotide ribosomal RNA is filed under the name Vreelandella stevensii. RNAcentral's name for it is "partial 16S ribosomal RNA". It matches the Rfam family "Bacterial small subunit ribosomal RNA", at positions 338 to 795 of the family's 1533-position model. The record is from RNAcentral. Lineage: Bacteria; Pseudomonadati; Pseudomonadota; Gammaproteobacteria; Oceanospirillales; Halomonadaceae.
CCUACGGGAGGCUGCAGUGGGGAAUAUUGGACAAUGGGGGCAACCCUGAUCCAGCCAUGCCGCGUGUGUGAAGAAGGCCCUCGGGUUGUAAAGCACUUUCAGUGAGGAAGAACGCCUGGUGGUUAAUACCCAUCAGGAAAGACAUCACCCACAGAAGAAGCACCGGCUAACUCCGUGCCAGCAGCCGCGGUAAUACGGAGGGUGCGAGCGUUAAUCGGAAUUACUGGGCGUAAAGCGCGCGUAGGUGGCUUGAUAAGCCGGUUGUGAAAGCCCCGGACUCAACCUGGGAACGGCAUCCGGAACUGUCAAGCUAGAGUGCAGGAGAGGAAGGUAGAAUUCCCGGUGUAGCGGUGAAAUGCGUAGAGAUCGGGAGGAAUACCAGUGGCGAAGGCGGCCUUCUGGACUGACACUGACACUGAGGUGCGAAAGCGUGGGUAGCAAACAGGAUUAGAUACCCCUGUAGUC